GAUGAAGAACGCAGCGAAAUGCGAUACGUAAUGUGAAUUGCAAAUUCAGUGAAUCAUCGAGUCUUUGAACGCACAUUGCGCCCCCUGGUAUUCCGGGGGGCAUGCCUGUCCGAGCGUCAUUGCUGCCCUCAAGCACGGCUUGUGUGUUGGGCCCCGUCCUCCGAUCCCGGGGGACGGGCCCGAAGGGCAGCGGCGGCACCGCGUCCGGUCCUCGAGCGUGUGGGGCUUUGUCACCCGCUCUGUAGGCCCGGCCGGCGCUUGCCGAUCAACCCAAAUUUUUAUCCAGGUUGACCUCGGAUCAGGUAGGGAUACCCGCUGAACUUAAGCAUAUCAAUAGGCGGAGGA
Molecule: unclassified non-coding RNA, 345 nt
Filed under: soil metagenome
Description: partial contains 5.8S ribosomal RNA, internal transcribed spacer 2, and large subunit ribosomal RNA
Rfam family: 5.8S ribosomal RNA (bases 1-119)
Source: RNAcentral